RNAcentral lists this ribosomal RNA (678 nucleotides) under uncultured Gammaproteobacteria bacterium. Its description in RNAcentral is "SSU rRNA". It matches the Rfam family "Bacterial small subunit ribosomal RNA", at positions 246 to 915 of the family's 1533-position model. Lineage: Bacteria; Pseudomonadati; Pseudomonadota; Gammaproteobacteria. The record is from RNAcentral.
UAGUUGGUGGGGUAAAGGCCUACCAAGGCGACGAUCGUUAGCUGGUCUGAGAGGAUGAUCAGCCACACUGGGACUGAGACACGGCCCAGACUCCUACGGGAGGCAGCAGUGGGGAAUAUUGGACAAUGGGCGCAAGCCUGAUCCAGCAAUGCCGCGUGUGUGAAGAAGGUCUUCGGAUUGUAAAGCACUUUAAGUUGGGAGGAAGGGCAUUUACCUAAUACGUAAGUGUUUUGACGUUACCGACAGAAUAAGCACCGGCUAACUCUGUGCCAGCAGCCGCGGUAAUACAGAGGGUGCAAGCGUUAAUCGGAAUUACUGGGCGUAAAGCGCGCGUAGGUGGUUCGUUAAGUUGGAUGUGAAAUCCCCGGGCUCAACCUGGGAACUGCAUUCAAAACUGUCGAGCUAGAGUAUGGUAGAGGGUGGUGGAAUUUCCUGUGUAGCGGUGAAAUGCGUAGAUAUAGGAAGGAACACCAGUGGCGAAGGCGACCACCUGGACUGAUACUGACACUGAGGUGCGAAAGCUAGGGGAGCAAACAGGAUUAGAUACCCUGGUAGUCCUAGCCCUAAACGAUGAUUGCUUGGUGUAGCAGGUACCCAAUCCUGCUGUGCCGUAGCUAACGCGAUAAGCAAUCCGCCUGGGGAGUACGGUCGCAAGGUUGAAACUCAAAGGAAUUGACG